CGCCCACGACCCACUUACUCUUUUAAAGCUAGUUCCUCGCCUCUAGCCUCCAGGUUUCUUCACUCCUUGUCAUCAGUCUCCCUGUCUCCCGGCAGCCCCCGGCCGCGGGCCCCUCCCUCCGCACGGGCUCGCACCUCUCCCCAGCCUGGUGCACCUGGGCUGACGCGGGCUCGGGACGCGUGCGGAGCGCCGCGAGUGUGGCGGAGGCAGAGGCGCGCUGACUGCCCCCUCCAGCCGGUGCCGGAGGGACAGCACGAGCUGCGCAACGGGGACCUCCUCCUCGGCCGCCGCUCACGGCUCGCGGUGACCACCGCCGCUGAAGCUGCGGGCAGGCAGCCGUGCGUCUCCCAGGACAGCCAGCCCGGGCGGCUGCUCCUCCCGAAUGCCAGGGCCAGGGCGCCGGGCGGCCGCCAGCAGGAGAAUGAAGAGCUCGGUGGGAGGAAGGAGAGAAAAGCUCCUGGGGACGCCGAAAGCUCAGUCCAGCCACGCUUUGACCUCCUGGGCUCAAGUAAUCCUCCCCCCUCAGCCUCCCGAGUAGACGGGACUACAGGCAUGUACCACCACACCUGGGUAUAGUUUUGUAUUUUCUUUUAUAUAAACGGGGUUUUGCCAUGUUGCCCAGGUUGGUUUUGAACUCCUAGGCUCAAGUGAUCCAACUGUCUUGGCCUCCCAAAGCACUGUGAUUAUAGGUGUGAGCUACCAUGCUCAGCCUGAAAUCUUUUAAAGCCAAAAUUGUGACAUUCUCUGUGCUUGAGAAUUCAUAUGAAGACAUGUCACUUAUUCUGCAGUAUAUGAAAAACUGUAAUGUUUUAUCAACUGAUUGUAACUCUCUGGAGAGAAGUCCCUAAAAUUUUUUUCGAUAAAUUAAUUCAUACUUGAAUUUGUACUUGAUUUAGAUAUUGGCUAGCACACUGUUUAUUGGAAGAUAUUUUAAAAUGUAAUUUGAAAAAUAAUUUAAAUAUAAGAUUAGAUAUUUUCCUGAAGAGGAAAUAAAAAGGUAAAACUUAAAAAAAAUACAGGGGCUUUCUGCCCACAAUUAUUAUAACAAAUCAUUUAAAGAGUUGAAAUCUGAUAUUUUAUGUAUGUGGUAAUAUGUGUUAUCAGAAAAAAAAUCUCUAUUAUAAAUGAGGAAUUCAGAUACACUUUUAAACUUGAAUUUUCCCCUCACUGUUUCAGAUUUUGGCUUAGCGUAUUUUAAAACAAGGAUUAGCAAACUUUCUACAAAGGAAUAGAUAGUAAAUAUUUUAGACUUUGUGGGCCAUAGAGUCUCUGUUGUAAUUAAACAAUGUUACCAUUGUAGCAUGAGAACACCAGGCACAAUACCUGAAUGAAUGAGUGUGGCUAUGUUCCAGUUUUAUUUUAUUUACAGAUACUGGUGGCAGGCAAGAUUUGGUAACGAAUCAUAGUUUUCCAACUCUUGUUCUAGAAAAAACAGAACUUAGUGUAAAAGCAUUUAAUAUUAUAUAUUUUUGUGAGUUAAGCCUUUGGAUUGAAUUCUUGUUCAUGUUCAAAAUUAGUCUGGACAUGGUCUGUCAAGCCUAAUGAUCCCAACAUUUUGGGAGGCUCACACAGGAGGAUCACUUAAGGCCACGGAGGCAGGAGGGUAACUUGAGCCUAGGAGUUUGUGAUCAGCCUGUAAAACAUGGCAAGACCCCAUCGCUACAAAAGAAAAAAAUUAACUGGGUAUAGUGGUUCAUGCCUGUAGCCGCAGCUACUCCAGAGGCUGAGGCAGAAGAAUCGAUUGCACCUUGCAGUUCAAGUCUCCAGUGAGCCCUGUUCACAACACUACAGUCUGGGUUGACAGAGCAAGAUCUUGUCUCAAAAAGAAAAAAUUUACUAUAUUGAAAAAUUCUUAAGAAACGUGAUGCAUCCACAUAUACACACAAACUCAUACACAUAAACUAUUAGAGCUAAUAAAUAAGUUUUGCAAGAUUGAAGGAUAAAAGAUCAAUAGAUAAAAAUCAAUUGUAUUUCUAUGUACUAG
This is a long non-coding RNA of Callithrix jacchus (white-tufted-ear marmoset), 1984 nucleotides long. The record is from Ensembl. Lineage: Eukaryota; Metazoa; Chordata; Mammalia; Primates; Cebidae.